GCGUGGGUGAAGAAGGCCUGCGGGUUGUAAAGCCCUUUCAGUGGGGAAGAAAAGCCUGGUGCUAAUAUCGCCGGGUCUUGACGUUACCUACAGAAGAAGCACCGGCUAACUCCGUGCCAGCAGCCGCGGUAAUACGGAGGGUGCAAGCGUUAAUCGGAAUUACUGGGCGUAAAGCGCACGUAGGUGGUUCGGUAAGUCAGGUGUGAAAGCCCUGGGCUCAACCUAGGAAUUGCAUUUGAUACUGCCGGACUCGAGUAUGGUAGAGGGGGGUGGAAUUCCCGGUGUAGCGGUGAAAUGCGU
RNAcentral lists this ribosomal RNA (300 nucleotides) under uncultured bacterium. Its description in RNAcentral is "bacterial SSU rRNA". It matches the Rfam family "Bacterial small subunit ribosomal RNA", at positions 399 to 691 of the family's 1533-position model. The record is from RNAcentral.